RNAcentral lists this unclassified non-coding RNA (210 nucleotides) under Hevea brasiliensis (rubber tree). The record is from RNAcentral. Lineage: Eukaryota; Viridiplantae; Streptophyta; Magnoliopsida; Malpighiales; Euphorbiaceae.
AAGAGUUUGAGAUUAAAACGAUUUAGGAUGUGUUGAAAUUGCAGAAAAAGAGAAUGGUGGCCCAUAUGACCAUGCCUUCAAAAUUGCAGAAUGUAAAGAUGAUGGUAGCCCAUAAGGUCAGCCUUUUGUAACAACCUGGCUCUAGAAAUAAAUUUUUGUUCUUUGUUUAUUAGGUGAAAUUGAAAAGGAGGAAAGGCUGAUCAGAGAUUU